UAACAAGGAUUCCCCUAGUAACUGCGAGUGAAGCGGGAAAAGCUCAAAUUUAAAAUCUGGCGGUGGUUAGCCGUCCGAAUUGUAGCCUAGAGAAGUGUUGCCUGUGCUGAACCAUGUAUAAGUCUCCUGGGAUGGAGCGUCAGAGAGGGUGAGAAUCCCGUGUUUGACAUGGACUAGCAGUGCAUUGUGGUACGCUCUCAAAGAGUUGAGUUGUUUGGGAAUGCAGCUCUAAAUGGGUGGUAAAUUCCAUCUAAAGCUAAAUAUUGGCGAGAGACCGAUAGCGAACAAGUACCGUGAGGGAAAGAUGAAAAGAACUUUGGAAAGAGAGUUAAACAGUAUGUGAAAUUGUUGAAAGGGAAACGCUUGAAGUCAGUGGCAUUGGGUGGGGAUCAAUGCAGCUCUUUUGCUGGAUGUAAUUCCUAGUCGAUGGGCCAACAUGAGUUCUGACUGCUGGAGAAAGGCGAGGUGAAUGUGGCACUUUUAAGUGUGUUUAUAGCACCUGGUUGUAUGCAGUGGUUGGGACUGAGGAAAAGCAGCGCGCCACUUGGCAGGGUUUCGACCACAUUCGCGCUUAGGAUGUUGGCAAUAAUGGCUUUAAGCGAC
Molecule: ribosomal RNA, 603 nt
Filed under: Amanita manginiana
Lineage: Eukaryota; Fungi; Basidiomycota; Agaricomycetes; Agaricales; Amanitaceae
Description: eukaryotic LSU rRNA
Rfam family: Eukaryotic large subunit ribosomal RNA
Source: RNAcentral